This 440-nucleotide ribosomal RNA is filed under the name uncultured bacterium. RNAcentral's name for it is "partial 16S ribosomal RNA". It matches the Rfam family "Bacterial small subunit ribosomal RNA", at positions 338 to 795 of the family's 1533-position model. The record is from RNAcentral.
CCUACGGGAGGCUGCAGUAGGGAAUUUUGCGCAAUGGGCGAAAGCCUGACGCAGCAACGCCGCGUGAUCGAUACGCCCUUUGGGGUUUAAAGAUCUGUCAGUUGGGACGGAACUUGACGGUACCCACAGAGGAAGCACCGGCUAACUCCGUGCCAGCAGCCGCGGUAAUACGGGGGGUGCAAGCGUUGUCCGGAAUCAUUGGGCGUAAAGAGUGCGUAGGCGGCACGGAAAGUCUGGUGUUAAAGGCAGAGGCUCAACUUCUGUACGGCACUGGAUACUGGCGAGCUAGAAUGCGGUAGAGGUAAAGGGAAUUCCUGGUGUAGCGGUGAAAUGCGUAGAUAUCAGGAGGAACAUCGGUGGCGUAAGCGCUUUACUGGGCCGUAAUUGACGCUGAGGAACGAAAGCCAGGGUAGCAAAUGGGAUUAGAUACCCCAGUAGUC